This 1372-nucleotide ribosomal RNA is filed under the name uncultured bacterium. Its description in RNAcentral is "bacterial SSU rRNA". It matches the Rfam family "Bacterial small subunit ribosomal RNA", at positions 28 to 1381 of the family's 1533-position model. The record is from RNAcentral.
GAUGAACGCUGGCGGCGUGCCUAAUACAUGCAAGUCGAGCGAACGGACGAGAAGCUUGCUUCUCUGAUGUUGGCGGCGGACGGGUGAGUAACACGUGGAUAACCUACCUAUAAGACUGGGAUAACUUCGGGAAACCGGAGCUAAUACCGGAUAAUAUUUUGAACCGCAUGGUUCAAAAGUGAAAGACGGUCUUGCUGUCACUUAUAGAUGGAUCCGCGCUGCAUUAGCUAGUUGGUAAGGUAACGGCUUACCAAGGCAACGAUGCAUAGCCGACCUGAGAGGGUGAUCGGCCACACUGGAACUGAGCCACGGUCCAGACUCCUACGGGAGGCAGCAGUAGGGAAUCUUCCGCAAUGGGCGAAAGCCUGACGGGGCAACGCCGCGUGAGUGAUGAAGGUCUUCGGAUCGUAAAACUCUGUUAUUAGGGAAGAACAUAUGUGUAAGUAACUGUGCACAUCUUGACGGUACCUAAUCAGAAAGCCACGGCUAACUACGUGCCAGCAGCCGCGGUAAUACGUAGGUGGCAAGCGUUAUCCGGAAUUAUUGGGCGUAAAGCGCGCGUAGGCGGUUUUUUAAGUCUGAUGUGAAAGCCCACGGCUCAACCGUGGAGGGUCAUUGGAAACUGGAAAACUUGAGUGCAGAAGAGGAAAGUGGAAUUCCAUGUGUAGCGGUGAAAUGCGCAGAGAUAUGGAGGAACACCAGUGGCGAAGGCGACUUUCUGGUCUGUAACUGACGCUGAUGUGCGAAAGCGUGGGGAUCAAACAGGAUUAGAUACCCUGGUAGUCCACGCCGUAAACGAUGAGUGCUAAGUGUUAGGGGGUUUCCGCCCCUUAGUGCUGCAGCUAACGCAUUAAGCACUCCGCCUGGGGAGUACGACCGCAAGGUUGAAACUCAAAGGAAUUGACGGGGACCCGCACAAGCGGUGGAGCAUGUGGUUUAAUUCGAAGCAACGCGAAGAACCUUACCAAAUCUUGACAUCCUUUGACAACUCUAGAGAUAGAGCCUUCCCCUUCGGGGGACAAAGUGACAGGUGGUGCAUGGUUGUCGUCAGCUCGUGUCGUGAGAUGUUGGGUUAAGUCCCGCAACGAGCGCAACCCUUAAGCUUAGUUGCCAUCAUUAAGUUGGGCACUCUAAGUUGACUGCCGGUGACAAACCGGAGGAAGGUGGGGAUGACGUCAAAUCAUCAUGCCCCUUAUGAUUUGGGCUACACACGUGCUACAAUGGACAAUACAAAGGGCAGCGAAACCGCGAGGUCAAGCAAAUCCCAUAAAGUUGUUCUCAGUUCGGAUUGUAGUCUGCAACUCGACUACAUGAGGCUGGAAUCGCUAGUAAUCGUAGAUCAGCAUGCUACGGUGAAUACGUUCCCGGGUCU